Molecule: transfer RNA, 141 nt
Filed under: Prosthecobacter sp.
Lineage: Bacteria; Pseudomonadati; Verrucomicrobiota; Verrucomicrobiia; Verrucomicrobiales; Verrucomicrobiaceae
Description: tRNA-Arg
Rfam family: tRNA (bases 1-61)
Source: RNAcentral
GCUCCCGUAGCUCAAUGUAUAGAGCGCCGCGCUUCGAACGCGGAGGCUGGAGGCGAGCGCUGUGCGCGAUAGCGCACAUCAACGAGGUGCGGAGCAGACUUGGCACAGCCGCCGGGCGGCAACGUCCUUCCGGGAGUGCCA